RNAcentral lists this ribosomal RNA (614 nucleotides) under uncultured bacterium. RNAcentral describes it as "bacterial SSU rRNA". It matches the Rfam family "Bacterial small subunit ribosomal RNA", at positions 31 to 642 of the family's 1533-position model. The record is from RNAcentral.
GAACGCUGGCGGCAGGCCUAACACAUGCAAGUCGAACGGUAACAUUUCUAGCUUGCUAGAAGAUGACGAGUGGCGGACGGGUGAGUAAUGCUUGGGAACUUGCCUUUGCGAGGGGGAUAACAGUUGGAAACGACUGCUAAUACCGCAUAAUGUCUUCGAACCAAACGGGGCUUCGGCUCCGGCGCAAAGAGAGGCCCAAGUGAGAUUAGCUAGUUGGUAAGGUAACGGCUUACCAAGGCGACGAUCUCUAGCUGUUCUGAGAGGAAGAUCAGCCACACUGGGACUGAGACACGGCCCAGACUCCUACGGGAGGCAGCAGUGGGGAAUAUUGCACAAUGGGGGAAACCCUGAUGCAGCCAUGCCGCGUGUGUGAAGAAGGCCUUCGGGUUGUAAAGCACUUUCAGUUGUGAGGAAAAGUUAGUAGUUAAUACCUGCUAGCCGUGACGUUAACAACAGAAGAAGCACCGGCUAACUCCGUGCCAGCAGCCGCGGUAAUACGGAGGGUGCGAGCGUUAAUCGGAAUUACUGGGCGUAAAGCGCACGCAGGCGGUUUGUUAAGCUAGAUGUGAAAGCCCCGGGCUCAACCUGNGAUGGUCAUUUAGAACUGGCAGACU